Neopsephotus bourkii (Bourke's parrot) is the source of this 2985-nucleotide long non-coding RNA. RefSeq lists it as uncharacterized. The transcript has 3 exons. NCBI's taxonomy places the organism in Eukaryota, Metazoa, Chordata, Aves, Psittaciformes, Psittacidae. The record is from RefSeq and is a predicted model, not a curated record.
UGGGGUACAACUCUGCCAGUGCUCCCUACCCAGUGCAAGGGGUUCCUGCAGCUGCAAGCACAGCUCUCCGAGCUGGUGAACCUUGUCCUGGAGCAGAGCUUCAGCUCUAGCAACCCAUGAAGGACUCACACGUAACAGCUUAGGAGCUCCUGUUCAUGGUGCGGGAUACAGGCACAACGAAAGGAGUCCUGGAGUCUGACCCGGAGCAUACACUCCCAUGGUGUGGCUUUGCUAAUCGGGGCUGCUUUCUGCCCAAGAGCAGCAGUUAACAAAAUAUUGUGCUUAUUAUCAUCAUCACAGCCAAAUAUUCCCUUUUAACCCCUAAGGCUGAAACAACCUCGGUGUUAACUCGGAGCUGCCAGGUGCCAUGCACUGUUCAGGCUCUGCAGGAGCAUACCUACAGCUCCUGCACUGAGCUCCCAUUGUUUUCUCUUCGGAUGAUGCCAUCUUGGGACUUUUCCAUCCUUCUUGCCAAUAUAAUGUUGUAUUUCAUUCAAAUAAAACUUGAUCGGAAUACAAGAGAUCACUUUCAUUUCUAUUUUAGGGAAGAAAGGCUGCAGCAUCUGCGCAUCACCUAAUGGAAAAGACCUGAGAAUAAAAGAGCUCAGGCCCUUUAGAAAUCUUUCAGAGAGAAGAUGUAGCUCUCCUUCAUGUCCUUCAGAAUUAACAUAUCUCACUUUGUACAUGCUCAGCAGCAAGGUUCCUAAAUUUGCUUCCCAAUAACCCACAGAUACAGCAUCGCAGUGCUGUUGCUGGCUGGAUUGUAAAGCAGGUGAGAACAGGAUGGGCAGUGAGGGGUUGCUGCCUCUUGUGAUGCUUUCCUGGCCACCAGCUAUCAGCACCUUGGGGACAUCUCAGACUAGAGGUUUGCAUGGAGAUUAUUGGGUUUAGUAGCUGCCAGAGGAUGUGUCACCCAUUAAUUUGUCUAAUCCUUCCUUGAGCAGAUACACUUUUCAUUCUGCAGUGCCCUCUGGCAAUGGUUGCCACUGUUUGACUCCUUUCAUUCACAGGAUCUUUCGCUCUCAUGAUAAUAAAUGCAGCUCACGGUGCUGAGCAGGAUGGAUUCUGAUGCUCCAGUCUGCAAAACCAACAGGGGCUCACAGAGUCAGCAUUGUGGAUCCUGGAGAAACAAGGAUCGUUUUAUUUGAUGGGCCUUAAUAAGGUUUAUUUCUGCACAGAUUUAACCCAAAGAUUGUCAUGACCAUCUCAGGUCCCAUGUGGCUUACAGGAUUGAACUUGAAGAAGCAUCAUUCAACAGCGGCUGGUGAUGGAGUGAUUCCAGGCCUGGGACUGCCUCCAGCCAACUGACUUCCCUUCUGUGGCACCAGAUUUGCAUUCAUUAAACCCAGAGUUUUAAUGAUUUAUGGAGAUUAAUACAAAAAUAGCGGCCCAGAGGUUCUGAUGCUCCCAAAGCUUCUGACAGAGGUACAACACAUCAUAAAUCCAUCCCCAUGUGAAACACUGAAUCAAAAUCAUUGUGGAAGAACUGCAAGUGUUAACAUGAGCCGUAAAAUCAGGGGUUUGGUCAAACUAAAAGGAUCAGAGCCUCCUAAGCCUGAGGAGAUAGAAACCCAUGUAAAAACAAUAAUAUAAUUAUUAUAAUGUUAAUAAUAAUAAUAUGAUUACCAUUGUUAAUUACAAUCACUGCCCUGAUAGUUCUCAGCUGUAAUGAUGGAUGGGGCAGAGAUGGCCCAGGAUAGAGGUGGCCCCAUCCUUUCAGAAACAACCUCUGUGCCACUACCAAACACCAGCCAAGCCAAAACCUCGGUGCUUUCCAGUUUGAAAGGGAAGCCACCAGCAGCAUCAGCUGCUGACAGCUCUAUAUCCAGUCUGGCUGAGCUUGGCAGGUGAGGAAGCAAAAGGAGAUGGUCUUGAGAUGAGAGAGUGGCAGAGGUGAGGAAGAUUGAGGCCAGAAGCUGUCAAGGAAAACUGAUGUGCAUCUCCAGCAGUGCAGGGGAGCGGGCUGUGUCUGUUCAUCUCCCCCCCAUCUCCCCUGGAGGUGCCUGUGGCUCACAGCAGGACAAGGACUACACUCUGGUGAGCACUUCUCCAAUCCUUCUGCGAUGCAUUUCUCCCUUUCCUCCCAUUGCACCCUUCUCUUCUGCAGGUUUGCAGAGCCAGGAGAGGAACUGAGUGAGGCUCAAAUUUAGUUUGUGUCAAGCCCCCAGUUCCCUUAUGCUUAGGUCCCUGCCACCCUGCCCAUGUUCCCCUCUGUGCUCCCCAAACCUUGCCCAUCAUUCCACCCCCUGCCUCCCCCAGCUUUCAUUGCAUCAUGCAUGCUUCAUGCCUUUCUAUAGCUUUGGCAAAUGAAUGCAAAUGAAUUCCAGCUUCUCCUAUCCCUUAAAAUAGCUGCAAACAUCCAGGAUAAGCCUGGUCCUGGGAAGAUGCUGGGUUCUGGAGGAGCCACUCCUGCAGCAAGGUGUGCAUUGUCUCAUGCUGAGCCCUGGAGGCUUUAAAACUGGAGUUUAAAACAGCCUUGCCCCUGGGACAGACUCCUUUCAUUUACAAGUGAAUCAGCAGGGAUGGCAGGACUGAUUUGCCAUAUGCUGCCCAGCAUCUUCUAAAGAUUUCUGUAGGAGAUGAUAGAUUUCUUUCAGGUAACCACCAUGUUUUCUUGCUGCACCUUCUCCCUUGACCACAUUCUCAGUUAGUAUUAGCUCAUGCAAAUCAUAGGACAAGCUCCAUAUCUUUACAUCUCCCUCACCCAAGAGGAUGAGACAAAACAAUCACCAAAACUGAUGCAAAAGAAUCACUGUGCACCUCUGAGGACAGCCUCACCAAAGGCAGGAUGGGCCAAAAUGUAUUUGGAGAAGUGAGCAUAACUGAGGAGGAGGGAUGCAUCACCCUGAAGCUGGACACAUUGAUGAAUGCAGCUCGGUACGGUUGAACAGGAAAUGUGGAGGGGGUUCCCAGCUCAGAUGCUUCUGACACACUGCUUCACCUUUGCACGUUUGUUGUCCUUUCCACCCUGUUUAUUUAAAACAG